CAGCCUUCGUCUCAUGGCUCUGCUCUCCUCCCAUCAUCACAGUCACCAACACAGCAAGUCACACCUGAGCAACAACACACAGUGUGCCAGUAAACACAAACAAGAAGACAAAGAAGGAAAACCUCACUUGGAUUGGUCGAGAAGAUGCAGUGAGGACAUGCUACACUACUUAGUGACGUCACACAGGUGGCGAGCUAAUGGAAGUGUCAACAAACAAGACGUCACACUGAGCGGCCGACGCGAUUGGCUCCGAGCGCAGAUCCCGGCGCUGCACGCGGGGAGAGGAGGAGGACAGCCGCGCGUGCAGUUGCUAUGCAGGU
Epinephelus moara (kelp grouper) is the source of this 320-nucleotide long non-coding RNA. RefSeq lists it as uncharacterized. The transcript has 3 exons. Lineage: Eukaryota; Metazoa; Chordata; Actinopteri; Perciformes; Serranidae. The record is from RefSeq and is a predicted model, not a curated record.